AUUGGACAACAAUAUUAUGUCCAUUUGGAACGGUAUAAAGAAAAUUACUAUAGCCUCAGCGCAAGGAUGACACAUGUAGAUUGAGAAAUAGUUCAUUUUUUU
This is a small nuclear RNA of Pyrus x bretschneideri (Chinese white pear), 102 nucleotides long. Lineage: Eukaryota; Viridiplantae; Streptophyta; Magnoliopsida; Rosales; Rosaceae. The record is from RefSeq and is a predicted model, not a curated record.